UACAGUCGUAUUCUUUGCUUUUUUCAGAGCCAGUCUAACAUGGUGAUACUUAAAUGUUAAGAAAUGCUUUAGUAAAUCACAACAUUGAUAUUCAGUAAUUGAUGAUUUUGAGGGAAAAUAGGAAGAUGCAGGAUUUUGAUCAAGUACCCUCCCACCUCAAAUAAAUGCGAUUCAUUUACCUCAACAAGAUAUUUUUUGUAAAGUUGAGAUUAUUUUGAUAUAUGACAGUAAAUUGCUUUUGCUGAGAAUAUGAAACACUGAGGAUCACGACUGAACAGAAACUAAUUUUCUGAGAAGGAACUGUGUGAUAUGAAAUGGCUAUUGCUAGGGUGAUUUGGCAUGCAGAAAUGAAGAAGUUCACAUUCAAGCUCAAAGGUAGACAGGAGGAGAUGCUGAUGAUAUGGUGUACAGCGGGAGGAGAUGCUGAUGAUAUGGUGUACAGCGUGAGUUUUGGAUGGGUGUCAGGAUGCCACAAAAUCGAGGUGUAUAUAGUGGAUACUAGUUAUUAAAUUGGUGGUGUGUAAUUUUGAGAUAAUUAGGCCUUGAAAUAUUUACCAGGUACAUACCAGUACUUACUAGCUUGUAAGUUUACUAUGGAAAAACUUUGUGGGGGUGGCUGUUAAUACAAGUAAAGGGAAAUGCCUUGGAGAAUUCCAGGCCCUGUUCCUAACUGCUGUGGGAGGGAAGAUAGUGGGAAUCCUGCUGAGAUACUGUCCCAGGAUCCAUCUUGGGAGCGCUUUUUUUUUUUAUUUUUUUUUGCAUUA
This is a long non-coding RNA of Dermochelys coriacea (leatherback sea turtle), 764 nucleotides long. RefSeq lists it as uncharacterized. NCBI's taxonomy places the organism in Eukaryota, Metazoa, Chordata, Testudines, Dermochelyidae. The transcript is spliced from 3 exons. The record is from RefSeq and is a predicted model, not a curated record.